This is a long non-coding RNA of Girardinichthys multiradiatus, 1126 nucleotides long. RefSeq lists it as uncharacterized. The record is from RefSeq and is a predicted model, not a curated record. The transcript is spliced from 5 exons. NCBI's taxonomy places the organism in Eukaryota, Metazoa, Chordata, Actinopteri, Cyprinodontiformes, Goodeidae.
GGACACAGUGCGCUAAUGUCUCUUUGCUGGCAAACAGACAUAACUCUUCAAACUGGUUCCAAGAGUAUCAUAAGAUCACGCAGUCAUAUGCACUAAGUUAAGUACGAAUUAAUUGCUGUUUGUGUAUCCGGUAUUCAUUCAUAAAAAGAGGUAAUUAAGGUACAAGCGUUGCUUGACUUUCUCUCUGAGAUCUGCAGAAGCAAACUGUUUCCAGAGAGUUCCCAGCAAGCCGAGUGAAGCAGUUUCCCAAAGGAAGGACAACGGGACGCAUUGCCGUGGUUACGGACGUAACUGCAGUUUGGUCGGCGGACAGAGCGAGCUGCCCCACCCAACAGCUACGGAGAUUAGCUGAAGCUAAUCUUUUGUUCACAGAGCUUUUUUCAAACUACGUCGUCGCCCAGACAACCUUUCCUCAGUACGGUUCAUACGAGACUCUGUUUCAGCACAUGCCUCAGUUCCAGCACCCAAAGUGAUUACCAAACCUCCAUCCCUGGCUUUUCCUCUCUUAUUGAGUCCUGUAUCAAGCCUGUGUUAAAUCCCCCUACAAGAACUCUCUGCAACUAAACAAGAUGAGUGGACGGAUAGAUAUGCCGCUAGAGCUCCGGAGGUGAGAGGGUAACAGGUGCAACUCAUUAUUGUCAUUUGGAGGAGUAUAAGAGAGCAGUCUGCCUGGACUUCUACGCCUGAGUGUUUGCCAGUUGUUAACAUUACAGUUGACAGUACUCUUGGUGCUGUCUAAGUCCAGUGCAAGUUCAAGUUUGUUUCCUAUCCAACUCAAAUUUCAAGGUUCAAGAUUUCCAGAAAGCCGUCAGAUCAAGUUCCAGCUGGCAGUCACUAGCUCAUCAUCCUCCAGGCCUCAAGCUAAGCGAACCCUGUCCUAUCCUGACUUCUGGAUCAAGAAGGGAUUCUCUCAGGCAAUAUCUUGUACUCACUCUCAGACUCCACAUCGACCCCUCCCUGGAAGAUCAUCCAUCCAAAUCCAUGCUGUGUUUCCAGUCCUGGGUCCAGCUCAUAAUCCUUCCCUGUGGAAAAAUACAUUUAUUAAAAUUUUUCUCUGCCUCCUGAGCUCCUCUGCAUGUGGAUCAAAUCAGCAAAUAAAAUAAUGGCAGAUCUCUGCUUUACCUCA